UGUUCUAAAACGAAAAUCGAUAAGAAAACUCAAAAGGCAGCCAAGGCUCAGACAGUCGCAGAUAGCAAAAGAGGGAAAAACGGAAAAUCAAGGGGAAUACGAAGUGGGGCGCCGAGGAAAUCUAUUUACAAUCAAACCUGCUCACCAAUAGCCAUUAAAAUUGCGUCAAUCAAGAGAAAAACCUCGCCAUUGCCCGCAGCAACAUCGAAGCUAGCCAAUUUCAGCCAACAGGACUUUCAGGGGCAGCAAGAGCAGUCCGGCGAAUUUAAGGCAGCAGCUGUAAGCCAAUUGGUGGCAACAGUUGUGCAAACAACAACAGCAGCAGCAGCAACAGCAGCAGCGGCGGCAGGAGCAACAUCAACAACAGCGGCAGCAGCAGCAGCAGCGGCAGCAGCAACACCCACAGGAGCAACAUCCGCAGUAGCAACACCAGCAGGCGCUACAUUUCCUAAGGCCAGCUCCUUGAGUCAGCAGCAACCACCACCGCCGCCGCCGCCACCAGCAACAACACCACCACCACCACCGCAGGAAACCGCAGCAGCAGCAACAACAAGUGUUGCCGGGACAACAGCAAUCACAACACCAGCAGCAACAGCAGCGCUAGCAACCAACAGGGCUAGCAAAGCCACAAGCAGGACAAGCAGCAACAGCAGCAGCGACAGCAGCAGCAGCAACAGCAACAGCAGCAAAAUCAACAACAGCGGCAAUAGCAACAACAGCAGCGGCAGCAACACCGGCCACAGCAGCAGCAGCAGCGGCAGCAACAGCAACAGCAAUACCUGCAACAGCAGCAGCAGCAACACCAGCACCACCACGACGCUGUACACGUGCUCCAGCGCCUCCUCGUCGCUGAUUGCCCAGCCGCCGCCAACGAAGAUAUUUAAGACGGAUCACCAUCUGUGCGCCGCCUACGGACUGCCGACCGCCACCGCCGCCGCUGCUGUUGGUGGGCAUCCCUGCGUCUACUGCGUGAUACCCGUGCCCGUGGGGAGCUCGUCUAGCGCCGCCGCCGCACCGCCAACACCGCGCAGCGCCUUCCCCGGCGCCCCGCUCACCGCCUCAGCCGUCGCACUCAAGGGCGCCCUCCCCCAGCGGCCACCGGCCAUGACAAGUCCCGCAGCCGCUGCCGCUGGCGCCGCCCUGGCCGCCGGUGCUCCGUACCGCGGCGCCGCCAGCUGGACCCCGCAGGGCUAUGCCCCGGCCGCUGCCGCAGCUGCCGCCGCUGUUGCCCAGCAGGCAGCCUACCGCUACACGGCGCCGCUGCCCCAGCCGGCAUAUGCCGCCUACACGCCGCACACGGCCACCACACCGGCCACAACCACGUACGGCCAGCGAGUGCCGACGGCAGCCUCACCGAGCAACACCAACUCGAGCAGCUCCUCGAACACCGGCUCCCAGAGCGGCACGCUGAGCACCAGCCUGAGCAACACGACGAACACCAACACGAACAUGGGUCCCAACGGCACGGUGCAGAAUCAAAACCAACAGGGCGGCGAGCAGUUGUCCAAGACAAAUCUCUACAUUCGCGGACUGCAGCAGGGCACAACCGACAAGGAUCUAGUUAAUAUGUGUGCACAAUACGGAACAAUUAUAUCAACCAAGGCUAUUUUAGAUAAAACAACAAACAAAUGUAAAGGUUACGGCUUCGUCGACUUCGAGCAGCCAGCCUUCGCCGAGUGCGCCGUAAAAGGAUUGCAGGGGAAGGGCGUGCAAGCUCAGAUGGCCAAAGUGGGUAUCUGGGUGCUUCAUAGGCCGGCCAUUCAACAGGAACAGGAUCCCACAAAUUUGUAUAUUGCAAAUUUGCCGCCCCACUUCAAAGAAACUGAUCUGGAGGCAAUGCUAUCGAAAUACGGACAAGUUGUUUCGACCAGAAUAUUGCGUGAUCAGCAGAUGAACUCCAAGGGCGUUGGCUUUGCCCGCAUGGAGAGUCGCGAGAAGUGCGAGCAAAUCAUUCAGAUGUUCAAUGGUAACACAAUACCGGGUGCCAAAGAUCCCCUGCUGGUGAAGUUCGCCGAUGGCGGACCCAAAAAGAAGAAUCUCUUCAAGACUCCCGAUCCGAAUGCGCGUGCGUGGCGCGACGUCUCCGCGGAGGGAAUUCCCGUGGCCUACGAUCCAUCGAUGCAGCAGAAUGGCGUCAGCGUGAACGUCGGAACGCCCAUCGGAGUGCCCUACUCCCGGUUCAGCGCCCCCCAGGUGGGUGGCUAUCCAGUGGCCGGCUCCCAGUGGAUACCCGGUUACAUGAUGACCCAGCCGAUCACUCAGGUAGAUGAUCAGUACAUGCAGAUGGCAGCCGCCCCACAGCUGGGAGUCACCUCAUACAAACCGGAGGCUGUGAACCAGGUGCAGCCCCGUGGCAUCUCGAUGAUGGUUAGCGGCGAUACGGGCGUGCCAUAUGGAACGAUGAUGCCCCAGUUGGCCACCCUGCAGAUUGGCAACUCUAACUUUUCUCCAUCGUUACAGUAUAUUAGUCCAACUUAUCCAUAUUAUGCACCACCACCAACUAUUAUACCAACAAUGCCAAUGACAGAUUCCGAACAGGCUAGCACAGCUGCAUCACCCGACGAGGCAUACACACAGUAUCCACAUCAAGCCGCUCCCAAAUAGGUCUUCGCGAGUAUAGUUACUAAGCAGUCUAAUCUCUGGUAAUCCAUACUAGCUACAAUAUAUUAGUACCCCAUUUGAGUACUAUAUAAAUUAGACGAGAGUGAGAGCAUGCCAGGUGGAAGCGGAAAAGCCAAGGAGAUGGAGAAUCAACAGAACUAACAUUAAAUGCAGCGGAUCGAAAGGAGUCUACAACAACCACCACCACACGAACAAGAACUAGAAGAAACUACUGAGACACAGCAUCGGCAGAAGAAUCGGAAACACAGCAUGCAGUUCACGAAGUUAAAUCUAAAGAAAAGCCAUCCCCCCGAAACCCAGAAAGCUGAGGCAGAGAAAAAAUAAUGUAUAAAAUAAGGAGGUUGGAUGUGAGGAUGAAGUUUAGGGGAUACAUGAAUACAGUGUAAGAGAUGCGUAGGGAAAAGCCGGUCUCCGAAGAGACGAGCGCAGAAGACGCGAGUAAAAAGUGAAGAAAAGCAAAGACUAAACUUAAAUAAUAGAGAAUAGUUAUACACUAAAUAAACAACCAGAGAUGCAACAGCAGAACGGCAACAAUUGCCAAACAACAGCGGCAAACGAGAGAAGAGCAGUCGAAAAUAUUUACAAAAAGAGAACUGCAGGAUGCGAAGAAAAGAAGGCAAAGUCAAAGGAAACUCACUUGGGGGUCGUAAGAACUUGAGGAAAUCUGCUGAGCAAAAAGAAAAACCAUCGCAGAUUAGAGAUUAGAUUAGAAAAAACAGUUGCAUGGGGGAAACCGAUGGGAAGAGCGAUGUAAAAAUAGAAGAGAAGAAAUAAAAAGAAACUAUUUUGCUAAUUUUGAGCUAGCAAAAAUCUAGCAGACAGAAAAAUUGUGAAGUAAAAGCAGAGAAAAAAUAAAUGUGUGUGCAAUGUAUGUUAAAGAACCGUAAAGAAAAACAGAGCAAAUAAAAAACGAAACAAAACCCA
Drosophila biarmipes is the source of this 3546-nucleotide RNA transcript. It is a transcript of the gene named protein alan shepard, with no coding region annotated. The record is from RefSeq and is a predicted model, not a curated record. The transcript has 11 exons. Lineage: Eukaryota; Metazoa; Arthropoda; Insecta; Diptera; Drosophilidae.